This 668-nucleotide ribosomal RNA is filed under the name Diplodinium anisacanthum. Its description in RNAcentral is "SSU rRNA". It matches the Rfam family "Eukaryotic small subunit ribosomal RNA", at positions 109 to 904 of the family's 1831-position model. Lineage: Eukaryota; Ciliophora; Litostomatea; Entodiniomorphida; Ophryoscolecidae. The record is from RNAcentral.
GUUAUUGUUUAUUUGAUACAACAAAUGGAUAACUGUAGAAAAACUAGAGCUAAUACAUGCUUUAACCGCGAGGUUGUAUUUAUUAGAUAUUCCGGAUUGGUGAAUCAUAAUAACUUCACAAAUCUCGUUUAUGACAAGAUAAAUCAUCCAAGUUUCUGCCCUAUCAUGCUUUCGAUGGUAGUGUAUUGGACUACCAUGGCUCUCACGGGUAACAGGGAAUUAGGGUUCGAUUCUGGAGAAGGAGCCUGACAAACGGCUACUACAUCUACGGAAGGCAGCAGGCGCGUAAAUUACCCAAUCCUGACUCAAGGAGGUGGUGACGAGAUAUAACAACGCGAUCAAAAUCUCGAUUGUAGUGAGGGUAUUCUAAACAGAACCUAUAGUACGAUUAGAGGGCAAGUCUGGUGCCAGCAGCCGCGGUAAUUCCAGCUCUAAUAGCGUAUAUUAAAGUUGCUGCAGUUAAAAAGCUCGUAGUUGGAUUUCAAGGACUGUAGACCCCUCUGGGGAAUACAUCCUACUAGUCAUUGACUGUUACUGUGAGAAAAUUACAGUGUUUCAAGCAGGCUUUCGCAAGAAUACAUUAGCAUGGAAUAACGAAUGUAUUUAGAAUCUUGGUUAAUUCUAAAUUACAAUUAAUAGAGACAGUUGGGGGCAUUAGUAUUUAAUUG